This 253-nucleotide ribosomal RNA is filed under the name uncultured bacterium. RNAcentral's name for it is "partial 16S ribosomal RNA". It matches the Rfam family "Bacterial small subunit ribosomal RNA", at positions 524 to 776 of the family's 1533-position model. The record is from RNAcentral.
UACGUAGGGUGCAAGCGUUGUCCGGAAUCAUUGGGCGUAAAGCGUGUGUAGGCGGACCCGUCAGUGUCUUGUGAAAUCCCACGGCUCAACCGUGGAACGGCUGGGCAUACUGCGGGUCUUGAGACACCUAGGGGCGAGCGGAACAGGCGGUGGAGCGGUGAAAUGCGUAGAUAUCGCCUGGAACGCCGACGGUGAAAACAGCUCGCUGGGGGUGUUCUGACGCUGAGACACGAAAGCCAGGGGAGCGAACGGG